GGUUUGAUGCCACGUCGACGGUAGCCCAAGUGCCAUGACCGAUGAUGCUAUGAUUGAACCAAGAUCAAUAUGUUUUGCUUUCUGAUAGGAACCUGUGGAUCCCAUAUACAAAACUGGUCCACGGAGCCGAUUUACUGCAAUGACAUCU
Argentina anserina (silverweed cinquefoil) is the source of this 148-nucleotide small nucleolar RNA. RefSeq annotates it as small nucleolar RNA snoR2/U65. The record is from RefSeq and is a predicted model, not a curated record. NCBI's taxonomy places the organism in Eukaryota, Viridiplantae, Streptophyta, Magnoliopsida, Rosales, Rosaceae. The transcript has a single exon.